GUAUGAAAUUGAUCGUGGUUGAUUGGUAUAGACUCGUUAGAGGACGAUUUACACUUUCAAGAAGGAUUCGUGAACCAAGAGGGACUAUAGAAGGAGAUUGAGCUUGGAAAUGUAAGGUUUGAUGAAGAAACCAAAAUCAAAAGUCUGCAAUGUGAGAAUUGAUGAUGGGAAAAGACACAUCUACGUGAAGAUCUGAUAUUGUCUUCUCCUUGAUGAUGUUGAACGCCGCAUUUUUUGAUAGCGUCAACCGGAUCAACCCUGAGGCCUGCUGAUCCUUGAGCUUCUACUGCUCCGUGUUCAUGGUAUCCGAAUUCACCUCCUACAGGGGUUCGUGAAGAUCUUUCUGGUACAGAUAAUCUUCAAUCUGCAUCGUCCAAAAAUAGAAAUCGGAUCCAUCAAACUUUUCAAUUCCAACAUUUGAGCUUUCGAUCUUCACAG
Cucurbita moschata (crookneck pumpkin) is the source of this 438-nucleotide long non-coding RNA. RefSeq lists it as uncharacterized. The transcript is spliced from 3 exons. Lineage: Eukaryota; Viridiplantae; Streptophyta; Magnoliopsida; Cucurbitales; Cucurbitaceae. The record is from RefSeq and is a predicted model, not a curated record.